CUCUUAGAUGUUCUGGGCCGCACGCGCGCUACACUGAUUCAUUCAUCAAGUCUAUAACCUUGGUAGAAAUGCUUGGGUAAUCUUUGAAACUGAAUCGUGCUGGGGAUUGGAGCUUGUAAUUAUUCUCCAUGAACGAGGAAUUCCUAGUAAGCGCGAGUCAUCAGCUCGUGCUGAUUACGUCCCUGCCCUUUGUACACACCGCCCGUCGCUCCUACCGAUUGAAUGAUCCGGUGAAUAAUUCGGACUGCAGCAGUGUUCAGUUCCUGAACGUUGCAGCGGAAAGUUUAGUGAACCUUAUCACUUAGAGGAAGGAGAAGUCGUAACA
This 325-nucleotide ribosomal RNA is filed under the name uncultured eukaryote. RNAcentral describes it as "partial 18S ribosomal RNA". It matches the Rfam family "Eukaryotic small subunit ribosomal RNA", at positions 1470 to 1796 of the family's 1831-position model. The record is from RNAcentral.